This 209-nucleotide long non-coding RNA is filed under the name Helianthus annuus (common sunflower). RNAcentral describes it as "sRNA HanXRQr2_Chr09g0412011". Lineage: Eukaryota; Viridiplantae; Streptophyta; Magnoliopsida; Asterales; Asteraceae. The record is from RNAcentral.
AUGUAUGGAGCUUCUGGCCAGUUACCGGUCUCGGGAUCCAAGAAUGAAAGGGUUAGCAUGAAUGUAAGCUGAUUUAUGGAGAGCAAUAACAGCUUUGUGAAUGGCGAUUUUGGCGAGUGGUUGUUCACCGAUGGGAACAUGAGGGCGAUGAUUCUCGAUACCAUUGUUUAGAAGACGAGAGUAAAAUGAAUCAUGACCACUAACUGUAU